GACAGAGGGUGCAAACGUUGCUCGGAAUCACUGGGCGUAAAGGGCGUGUAGGCGGGACGGUAAGUCGGGCGUGAAAUCCCUAGGCUCAACCUAGGAACUGCACUCGAAACUACCAUUCUUGAGUGUCGGAGAGGAAAGCGGAAUUCCUGGUGUAGAGGUGAAAUUCGUAAGAUAUCAGGAGGAACACCAGUGGCGAAGGCGGCUUUCUGGACGAUAACUGACGCUGAGACGCGAAAGCGUGGGGAGCAAACAGG
RNAcentral lists this ribosomal RNA (254 nucleotides) under uncultured bacterium. RNAcentral's name for it is "partial 16S ribosomal RNA". It matches the Rfam family "Bacterial small subunit ribosomal RNA", at positions 524 to 776 of the family's 1533-position model. The record is from RNAcentral.